GGGCCCGUGGCAUAGCCAGGAUAAAGCACCGGCCUUCUAAGCCGGGGAUCGCGGGUUCGAAUCCCGCCGGGUCCG
This 75-nucleotide transfer RNA is filed under the name Methanobacteriota archaeon. Its description in RNAcentral is "Euryarchaeota archaeon tRNA-Arg". It matches the Rfam family "tRNA". From Rfam's summary of the family: Transfer RNA (tRNA) molecules are approximately 80 nucleotides in length. Lineage: Archaea; Methanobacteriati; Methanobacteriota. The record is from RNAcentral. RNAcentral also lists the same sequence under 4 other names.